This 214-nucleotide ribosomal RNA is filed under the name Malassezia pachydermatis. Its description in RNAcentral is "partial large subunit ribosomal RNA". The record is from RNAcentral. Lineage: Eukaryota; Fungi; Basidiomycota; Malasseziomycetes; Malasseziales; Malasseziaceae.
CGUGAAAUUGUCGAAAGGGAAGCGCUUGAAGUCAGCCAUGCUGCUUGAGACUCAGCCUUGCUUUUGCUUGGUGUAUUUCUCGGUAGCAAGCCAGCAUUGGUUCGAGUCGUCGGAGAAGGGUAUGAGAAAUGUGGCAUCCUCGGAUGUGUUAUAGACUUGUACUGGAUACGACGAUUUGGAUCAAGGAACGCAGUGUGCCUCUGGCGGGUCUUCG